GAUGAACGCUGGCGGCGUGCUUAACACAUGCAAGUCGAACGGAAAGGCUCCUGCUUGCAGGGGUACUCGAGUGGCGAACGGGUGAGUAACACGUGGGUGAUCUGCCCUGCACUUCGGGAUAAGCCUGGGAAACUGGGUCUAAUACCGGAUAGGACCACAUUUUGGAUGGUGUGGUGGAAAGUUUUUCGGCGUGGGAUGAGCUCGCGGCCUAUCAGCUUGUUGGUGGGGUAAUGGCCUACCAAGGCGUCGACGGGUAGCCGGCCUGAGAGCGUGUACGGCCACAUUGGGACUGAGAUACGGACCAGACUCCUACGGGAGGCAGCAGUGGGGAAUAUUGCACAAUGGGCGCAAGCCUGAUGCAGCGACGCCGCGUGGGGGAUGACGGCCUUCGGGUUGUAAACUCCUUUCGCUAGGGACGAAGCGCAAGUGACGGUACCUGGAGAAGAAGCACCGGCUAACUACGUG
This 465-nucleotide ribosomal RNA is filed under the name uncultured bacterium. RNAcentral describes it as "partial 16S ribosomal RNA". It matches the Rfam family "Bacterial small subunit ribosomal RNA", at positions 28 to 507 of the family's 1533-position model. The record is from RNAcentral.